RNAcentral lists this ribosomal RNA (468 nucleotides) under uncultured bacterium. RNAcentral describes it as "partial 16S ribosomal RNA". It matches the Rfam family "Bacterial small subunit ribosomal RNA", at positions 28 to 507 of the family's 1533-position model. The record is from RNAcentral.
GACGAACGCUGGCGGCGUGCUCAACACAUGCAAGCCGAACGGAAAGGCCCUGCUUUUGUGGGGUGUUCGAGUGGCGAACGGGUGUGUAACACGUGAGUAACCUGCCCUCGACUUUGGGUUAACUUCAGGAAACUGGGGCUCAUACCGCAUAGGUGCUCCUCCUGCAUGGCGGGGGUCGGACAGUUUCGGCGGUUGGGGAUGCACUCUCGGCCUAUCAGCUUGUUGGUGGGGUAGUGGCCUACCAAGGCUUUGACGGGCAGCCGGCCUGAGAGGGUGACCGGCCACAUUGGGACUGAGAUACGGCCCAGACGCCUACGGGAGGCAGCAGUGGGGAAUAUUGCACAAGGGGCGGAAGCCUGAUGCAGCAACGCCGCAUGCGAAAUGACGGCCUUCGGGUUGUAAAACGCUUUCGCCUGGGAAGAAGCGUAAGUGACAGUAAUGGGUAAAGAAGCACCGGCUAACUACGUG